UCUUCCACUGAAGCAGCACGGGCUCCCUCGGCCAUGGCUCCUCCUCCUCCUCCUCCCUUCCACCCUCUUCUCCCUCCACACGUCGGCCUCCCUCUCGCGCCGCCGGAAUGCUCUUCCCCGCGCCGCCCCGGCUCUGCUCCUGUGCUGCCAAAGCUCCGCCCCGCGCCGCCUGUGCUCCCGCCUCCGCCCCCCACGCCGCUCGAGCUCCGCCUGGGCGGGCGCCCGAGCUCCUCCCCGCACCGCCGGGGCUCCGCCUGCUCUCCGCCCCCGCGCCGAUCCGAGCUCCCGCCCCGCACCGGACCGACCUCCCACGCCGCGCGAGAUCCGCCUAGCACCGCCCGGACUCCAACCCCGCGCCGCCUGAGCUCUGCCCUGCGCCAGUCCGAGCUCCGCCCACGCCGCCCGAGCUCCGCCUGAGCUCACGGCAAGAGACGCUGUCGAAGUGGAACGGCUCGGUUCGCUCGUUUUUCCGGGAUCCAGCCGUCCCGGAUCUGAAGGAAUAUUCCCUCCUUGCCAUGGCUCCAUCCUCAGGCUCACGAACCACGCACAGAGCUGAACCAAACACGGAACGGAACGUUCCAUCCCAGAUUGUUCCAGAAUCAAACACUACCAAGAGAGCGAGAAAAAGAAGGAAUCGACAACUUCUGGUGACGAUGAGGAUCCGAGCUGCAGCAGUGGAUCUUGCCUUUUGAGCCAAUCGGCGCGUGCUAAGGAAGCUGCAGAGCGGAAGGCAGGUUGCUAAGGACGCCGCCUCCAUCCGGCGACAAGCAACCAAAAUCCCGAAACCGUAAAAGCCUGAAACAAAUAGUAAAACAGCCAUCAUAUUUACUCCUAGUCAGAUCGGUUGAUCAUCUAUUCAGGUUCAGAUCGCAUCUUUCUUCUCCACAAUCUGGGUGCGAUUGGAGCAACGAGAUCCUACUCCAGGCCGUAGGGCCCAGAUCCGGCCAGAGGUGAGCUGCGUGUCCUCCUCCGGGAUCUCGAUCGAUCAGGCCAUGGUCGAAGGGCCGCCACGACAGUAGCUCGCGCAGCUCCGUGGAGGAUCUAAACUGGUGGUGUCAUCGGUGGACUCUUCAUCAUGGGCAGAGGUGACCAGGACGCUGCCUGACCCGCCUAUCUGCAUGGAAUUUCAUAGCUUCCUGUCCAGGAUGCAUAGCAUUUUGCAUUUUGUGGACUGGCCGGAGUAGCAAUCUUCAGGCCGCAGGCAAUUCAUGUGCACGGCGGUGCUCAUUUUGUACAAUUUUUGGACCCCUGCACGAUGAGCAGCUACACCGUACCGGGACGGCGGCGGGCUCUCUCCGCAUUCUACUGGCUUUGUUUCCUGCUCACAGUUUAAUCCUGCUUUGUGAGGAGUAUAAUCCUGCUUUGUGAGGAGUAAAUACUCCUGCGAAACAGAGCAACAUGGUUCCUGAUUGAUUAUCGUGCACCAAUUUAGAAUAGAGAUGUUGCAAAUAUUCAGAGAUGUUUGUGGUCUGAUGUUUAACAGCAAGAUCAAUAGCUGAAUCUGAGAUCCAAUACUUUCUUUUUCUAUAAAGGUUGUACAUACAAGAGUAAUUUUUUUAUGGUUCAUUGUUGGAGUAUUUUCUUAGUUAAUGUGCUUGGAAUAUAUGGAGUAUA
Molecule: long non-coding RNA, 1614 nt
Organism: Panicum hallii
Lineage: Eukaryota; Viridiplantae; Streptophyta; Magnoliopsida; Poales; Poaceae
Exons: 5
Source: RefSeq, a predicted model, not a curated record